UACGUAGGUGGCAAGCGUUAUCCGGAUUUAUUGGGCGUAAAGGGAACGCAGGCGGUCUUUUAAGUCUGAUGUGAUGGCCUUCGGCUUAACCGGAGUAGUGCAUUGGAAACUGGGAGACUUGAGUGCAGAAGAGGAGAGUGGAACUCCAUGUGUAGCGGUGAAAUGCGUAGAUAUAUGGAAGAACACCAGUGGCGAAAGCGGCUCUCUGGUCUGUAACUGACGCUGAGGUUCGAAAGCGUGGGUAGCAAACAGG
RNAcentral lists this ribosomal RNA (253 nucleotides) under uncultured bacterium. RNAcentral's name for it is "partial 16S ribosomal RNA". It matches the Rfam family "Bacterial small subunit ribosomal RNA", at positions 524 to 776 of the family's 1533-position model. The record is from RNAcentral.